This 1344-nucleotide long non-coding RNA is filed under the name Mytilus galloprovincialis (Mediterranean mussel). Lineage: Eukaryota; Metazoa; Mollusca; Bivalvia; Mytilida; Mytilidae. The record is from RNAcentral.
GGGCCUAAAUUAAAAUAUUGUUUGUUUGCCCUUUUCCGACCCUAUGUUUUGAAACAGGGUAGGUAGGUAGGUAAAAUAUUUUAUUUUUUUCCCCAAAAAAAUAACUUGGCUCGGUAUAUUAUUUGUCAUGGGUAGGCAGGUAGGUAAAAUAUUUUAUUUUAUAGAUACAAAAUCUGCAUAAUGUCAUUUUUUUGUCCGUUUUGUUUUUGCAAAUAAGUUUUCCGCUGGGACUAUUAGUUUUGAAAAAAAUAAAUAUAUAAGAGAUAACUUGGUAAGAUAAUGUCCGGGCAGACAUACAUUACUAGUAGAAAAAGUCCCUAGAGUGUUACAAAUUUCGUGUGUGCCUUUUUUCCAAUAAAAAUGCUAUAAGACUUAAAACUCAAUUGUCACGUAUUUUACAUCCCAUUUAUAAAUGAUCUGUAUGGAAAACUUGGCGAUUUUACUGCCAAAUAUUUUCCACUUUACAGGGUUUUGUCACUUUUGGUUCAUGUCAGAUAUAAAUAAUUUAGCGGCAUCGUUAACAUAAUCAUUCUGAUAUGCGGAUCACAAAAGGCCAUCCCUACAUAGAAUACAACGUCCGUUUACAAAUUAGUUUGUACACACGUUAAUACUUUUGUAUCAAACGAACUUUUUUGUAAAUGAACCCUGCUCUUUAAGUUUAAAGGUACAGAGUAACGUACUUCAUAUCAUGAUUUCAGAAAGCGUUCAACAUCGAUUUCAAACAAAUGCUUUGAAACUUCAAAUGCAAGUGUUCAUGUCAAACGCUCAGGUGAUACCAAACGGACUGGACCUUAUACGUAAAGAUAAAACCCGAGGAUUCCGGUAAAAAAGUUUUGAGCGGGGAAAUACAAAUAUAAGAUUUUUGGUAGGAACGAAAAAAUAAAAUAAAAUAAAAUCUUGCUGGUAAAUACAAAUAAAAGAUUUUCAGGCGGAACGAAUUGAUAGGGUCGGUCGGUAAAGGGCAAACAAACAAUAUUUUAAUUUAAGCCUAGAACAGCUAAAGAAACACCAUCAUAAUUCAAACUUAAUCUGUAUUUAAAGUAGUUGGCAUUGUGUAUAAGUUUCCUAAUAUUUGGUUGUCCCAAACUAAAGUUAGAGAACAGAAAAAAAUUUCAAGAUGUAUGGAUGUACAGGAGUAAAUCUUGAUGACCCCUCUGCUAGUGGGGGCAUACACAAAUGUUUUCAUAAAGCAAACGGUUUAACCUACCUUCCAAUGCUACCCUAUCUAACUUAUUUUGAAGUGAAAUAGGAAACACACAAUUAAUUUAUUUAUUUGGCCGGACAGUGUUGUGGUUGAUUAACUAAUACGAAAUAAACCAACCAUAAUACAAGGUUUAUUCAAUU